This is an RNA transcript of Brassica rapa (field mustard), 1371 nucleotides long. RefSeq lists it as uncharacterized. Lineage: Eukaryota; Viridiplantae; Streptophyta; Magnoliopsida; Brassicales; Brassicaceae. The record is from RefSeq and is a predicted model, not a curated record.
AAUUAAAAAUCGAUCGGUAGGGUUUACAUAUAAAAACGAAAAUGGAUCAGAGAUUGGACACAAACAAUCUCCUUCCUCCUCCAUCUAUCUAUAUUCUCCUCUGAAAACCCUAAUCUCCUUCUUUCUUCUCUCUGUUGCUUCCAUUAACAUAGAUGAUAAAAGCAACUUCAAAAGCCGCGUGAAUUCAUCUUGUAGUAACGGGGAAAUUAAAGAAGGUUUCAGCUGGUCGGUAGAGAGAUUUGUCUGAAGAAAAAAAAAUGGCGACAAUGAAUCAGCUUGAUUCCGAUUUGCUUCUACCUCCACGGAAGCGAUUACUCGCCGGAUUCAAGAAACAGAACUCCAAUGGAUCUUCCUCCUCUUCUACUUCAUAUUCGAACGGCUCCUCCUCUGCUUCCACCGUUGUGCACACCCAUCUCGACAAUCUGUUGACUUCCCAACUCAACGACGGCCAGAUUCGGUCUCCGGAGGAGUUAAAAGCAACCGCUGCUUUAGCAGUAAAGAUCGCAAAGGCGGCGAGAGCCGCCGCUAAUGAGAAAGCCAUCAUUGCUUCAAAGGCCGUAGCUGCAGCCAAGAGCGCGUUGGAACUGUUCGCUUCUUUUCCGGCUGAGACGGUGAAGGAGAGGAAGAACAAGCAGAAGAAACAUGUCCCCGUUCAUGUUAUGUAUUCGAAAGAUGAGGAUUUAGCGCGUAGGUUGAACCGAGCUAUAAACAACUCCCCUAGAGUAUUGACCGGGCAUAGAAACAAGAAGCUAAAGAGUGUAGCUACGUAUGAGAAUAGCGCAGUGACUAGUAGUAGUACUAUGUACGAUGGGAAUGAUGUUGCUGGUGUUGUGGAUUCAGACACCUCCACGGAUGAUGAAGUAGACAGAACAAGAGUUAAUGGGAAGGAGAAAACAGGGGAGGAGAGUAGAACAUUGGGGAAAAGAAGAGGAAGAGUGAAGCUAAAGAAGUUACCUUUGAGCAUGUGUGCCUCUAAGGAUCAAGAAAACGGAAUCAUCACAAAUUCCCUGGCUCGGACGGGAGGUUCUAAUGGUGGUGUGGGUCAGGUGAGAUCAUAGCAGGACUACAAUGGAAGUGUUACGAUCUAAAAGUCACAGGAAUGUGUGUGAAGCAGAAGACAAAGUUGUGUAGGUUCAUAUCAACUCUUUUACCUAAAAGAGGUAAAAAUAGUGCAGAUUCAGAAACAUUGCUAUUUUCAGUAGAAUCCGAAUGUUGUUUCUUAUUUUCCUUGGUUCUGCUUGAGUAGAUUUUAUAUAGUAUAUGUGGUAGUUGAAUCAUCGUGAGUGUUUGUUGAACCUAUGACUAUUUAUUGGGAUUUGUAGCUGAGAGUCGAAUUUAAUAAAACUGAUGGCUCUCUUUUGUUUUUAAACG